Globicephala melas (long-finned pilot whale) is the source of this 2473-nucleotide long non-coding RNA. RefSeq lists it as uncharacterized. NCBI's taxonomy places the organism in Eukaryota, Metazoa, Chordata, Mammalia, Artiodactyla, Delphinidae. The record is from RefSeq and is a predicted model, not a curated record.
ACAAGAACACUAGAAGACCGAAGAAGAGUUGAGAGCAGGGGGCAGCUCCCGGGGAAGAACUGCUGGGAGACAGACAUUACUGUCGGAAAAGCUAUGCUCCUCUAAUCCUCUGCGUACUGAAACAGACCUUCACAGCCAAACUGUUGUCGGCGACCUGAGCGCUGGAAGCCGAAGGGAGGAAGGACACGCGAAGCCCGGGCGGCCGAGCAGGGCGGCCGGCACAAAGGAAGCAGACUCGCCACGGCAGCGUAUGCCCGCGCCGGCGAAGGCACGGCCCGCGGCCCUGCUAGACCGAAGUCCCGCACCGGCAGCUAGGAAUAAAGUUUACAUUCUCCUGAGACCGCACCCCCCCUCCCACCCAGAACCGCGCAUCUCCGCGUCCUCCUCCCCCAAACUGCACUCGGGACCCCGAGCACCACCCCAGCCUUCCAGCCAGCACAACAAAGAGACAGACCGACCGGCGAGGGUAAACAGCCGCGGCAGGGCGAGCAGGGCGAGCAGGGCGGGCAGGGCGAGCGCCUCGAGAUAAGCAACUCUGGAGUCACCCGCUCUCUGGAGCGUAGUUUCUCCUUUUCGGUUUCAACCGGCUUUACGAUAUUUGGAAUUUUCAUCGUCACCCGCACCCCUCACACCCGAGGAUUUUAAACUCACCUUUACUUUCGAACUGAGAGUUGCGGUUGAUGGGAUUUUUGCCUUCCCCAGAUGGUUGAAGGUUACGAUUUUUGUUUUUGGAAACCCCACCACCUCCUUAUUUCUAUUAUUAUUUUUGCAAGAGAAGUAUAAAGAGAGUUGGAGUGGAGGUGAAAUUUGUGAUCGGGAAAGCCCUGGACGCCCUCCUUCUCCGUCUUCCGCCUCUCUCUCUCUGAUUAGUUCCUAUCCAGCAGCAGAUUGAAGCAGGAGAUGAUUCUUCUCAAGGUUUGUUCAGCAGCUUCACUUCUAGGCGAAGGCUUCAUGAACCAAGUGACGUCAACCAACGAGGCUUCUCUCUCUCUCCUCUCUCUAACAAUGAAAGUUGCUGUUAACAAGGGAAAAAAGAGAAUUGUUUAUACCAUUUCAGUUCCAAUAAUAAAUGACCUAUCAGCUCCUAAAGUAGCCAAGGGAGGGAGGGGGUUGCUUCUUCCUCCCAAGAAUCCUGUAGCUUUGAGUUUGCACCGAUCCUUGUCCCAGGAAAAAGUUAAGAAACUCAAAUGUUUUGUUUUGCCGUUAAAAGUAGAGAAGACAGAAAAUAGGAUUGAACACGUAAUUUUAAAAAAAAGUACACUGGCGAAUAGGGAGCAUAUAUUAACCAUUUCUACCUAAACUUUUUUGUCUGUAAACUCAGAAUUUGGUUAAACUCUAAAAGCCAACUAAUGUAAUAUGCCAAAAAUUCGUGGAUGUUUGGAACUCAAAAUAAAAAAGCAGGACGCAAAAUGGUCCCGGGGUAAAACGUUACUGCCCUGACACCGGCAAGUUAAGCUGCUGUAAUGUUUAUGGAUUGAGUUAAAAUUUAUAUAAAACGUUAAAAUAGUAAAUCAUUUUAAAGUUAUACGUUAGAACUGUAAAAGGUAACCUCAGUAGUUUUUCCCCCCAGCUUCUGAGAGGGCAAAAGAAAAAGGGGGGAGGAUAGCUAAUUGUACGAAUUAGAACACUUAAAAAAUCAAGUGAAAACUGGGUAGCCCAUUGCUCCAUCUUUAAAUUACACACAAGGUAUGCUAUUUGUCUAUCCCCAGAAUUUCUUCCAACUUCCUAUUUUUUACCCUUCCAUUUUCUCCCACCAAUUUCAGCAUCCUAAAACCAAAAAAGUUAAAGGUGAAGUCCACCCAAUUCCCUCCUACGGCACACCACCCUGUAGCUUCCUAAAAAUGAUUCUUUUAAAAAGGUCUUAACCGUGGUAACGCUUUAUUACCCAAGAAGAUAAAUAAUUUAAAAAUUUUUUCAUUGAGGUAGUGUUUUUCCCCUGGAACACAUUAAAGUCUCAAAAGUUCAUAUAAUUAAAACUUGCAUAAUUUAAUUUUCAGGAUAAAGAGCAAGUGAAAGGCAAGCUAUAGAAAAUUAAUUUGACCAUAUAUGUAUAUUUUGUACAUGCAUAUGUGGAUAAAUGUAUCUUAAAAGAUGCUAUUGUUUUAUGUUUCCUCUUCAGCCACUGGCUGUGAUUUUAAUUGUGCUGGAGGAUCUUCAUUAGUAUUAACACAUGGGGAGAUUUCACAAAGCUGCUUCAUUAAGACAAAAAAAAAAAGCUUGGCAGACUAGGUCUUUUUGCAUGCACUGAGAAUGUCAGCCUUACCUCGGUCAUUUGUAACAUAAUAAGUGCAAGUACAAUGAUUGCAAUGCAGGAGCGCUGGGGGGAAGGGCAGAAAUACUGCCUGUCUAAUAGGGAUAUCUGAAAAGAAGGCUGCUCAUUAUAUAGUAAAAUGUAUGCUAAAAAUUAGUGAAGAUGAUGUCUCAGGAGACUGAUGCUAAAUAAAUUAAUGUGCUGAUAUGUUUUUAAUUAUUA